RNAcentral lists this RNase P RNA (413 nucleotides) under Spirochaetia bacterium. Its description in RNAcentral is "RNase P RNA component class A". It matches the Rfam family "Bacterial RNase P class A". Rfam says of the family: Ribonuclease P (RNase P) is a ubiquitous endoribonuclease, found in archaea, bacteria and eukarya as well as chloroplasts and mitochondria. Its best characterised activity is the generation of mature 5'-ends of tRNAs by cleaving the 5'-leader elements of precursor-tRNAs. The record is from RNAcentral. Lineage: Bacteria; Pseudomonadati; Spirochaetota; Spirochaetia.
CAUGAGCAGGGGACGGCCGCGCGGCCCCACAGCCAUUUAUGGCAUUUAGGGAGUGAGGAAAGUCGGACACCACGGAAUCAGAAGGCCAGAGGAAUCUGGAUUUAUGGAAAGUGUAGCAGAAAGUAUACCGCCCUUGAGGUCUCACGAUCUUUCGGGUAAGGGUGAAAAGGCGGGGUAAGAGCCCACCGCAUGGUUUGAGAAAACGAUGGCAAGACAAACCCCCUUCGGUGCAAUUUCAAGCAGCUCCCGGAUGAUUCCCCAUGCAAAUUGCCGCGAAAGCGAUAAUUGCAAGGGAGCGGGUAGAAAGCAAAGCAGGCGAUCGUAUAAUAUCGCUUCAAGAUAAAUGGUCGUCGCCCCCGCAUCACGAAAGUGAUGCGGGGGAACAGAAUCCGGCUUACACCUGCUCUUUUUUA